RNAcentral lists this transfer RNA (69 nucleotides) under Loxodonta africana (African savanna elephant). It matches the Rfam family "tRNA". Rfam says of the family: Transfer RNA (tRNA) molecules are approximately 80 nucleotides in length. Their secondary structure includes four short double-helical elements and three loops (D, anti-codon, and T loops). Lineage: Eukaryota; Metazoa; Chordata; Mammalia; Proboscidea; Elephantidae. The record is from Rfam by way of RNAcentral.
GCAGUGGUGGUUCAGUGGUAGAAUUCUUGCUUUUCGAGUGAGAGAUCUGAUUUCAAUUCCCAGCCAGCA